GACGAACGCUGGCGGCGUGCCUAAUACAUGCAAGUAGAACGCUGAAGGAGGAGCUUGCUUCUCUGGAUGAGUUGCGAACGGGUGAGUAACGCUUAGGUAACCUGCCGGGUAGUGGGGGAUAACAAUGGGAAACGAUAGCUAAUACCGCAUAAUAGCAGUUGUUGCAUGAUAACUGUUUGAAAGUUGCAAUUGCACCGCUACCAGAUGGACCUGCGUUGUAUUAGCUAGUUGGUGGGGUAACGGCUCACCAAGGCGACGAUACAUAGCCGACCUGAGAGGGUGAUCGGCCACACUGGGACUGAGACACGGCCCAGACUCCUACGGGAGGCAGCAGUAGGGAAUCUUCGGCAAUGGACGGAAGUCUGACCGAGCAACGCCGCGUGAGUGAAGAAGGUUUUCGGAUCGUAAAGCUCUGUUGUAAGAGAAGAACGAGUGUGAGAGUGGAAAGUUCACACUGUGACGGUAUCUUACCAGAAAGGGACGGCUAACUACGUG
RNAcentral lists this ribosomal RNA (495 nucleotides) under uncultured bacterium. Its description in RNAcentral is "partial 16S ribosomal RNA". It matches the Rfam family "Bacterial small subunit ribosomal RNA", at positions 28 to 507 of the family's 1533-position model. The record is from RNAcentral.